ACCGGGAGUAGUAGCACAUGCCUGUAGUCCCAGCUAGUCGGGAGGCUGAGGUGGGAGGAUCGCUUGAGCCCAGGAGUUCUGGGCUGUAGUGCGCUAUGCCAAUCAGGUGUCUGCACUAAGUUUGGCAUCAAUAUGGUGACCUCCCGGGAGUGAGGGACUGCCAGGUUGCCUAAGGAGGAGUGAACCGGCCCAGGUUGGAAAGGGAGCAGGUCAAAACUCCAAUGCUGAUCAGUAGUAGGAUCGCGCCUGGGAAAAGCCACUGCAUUCUAGCCUGGGCAAUGUAGUGAGACCUUGUCUCUA
Callithrix jacchus (white-tufted-ear marmoset) is the source of this 300-nucleotide unclassified non-coding RNA. It matches the Rfam family "Metazoan signal recognition particle RNA". From Rfam's summary of the family: The signal recognition particle (SRP) is a universally conserved ribonucleoprotein. The record is from Ensembl. Lineage: Eukaryota; Metazoa; Chordata; Mammalia; Primates; Cebidae.